This 378-nucleotide ribosomal RNA is filed under the name Vibrio sp. RNAcentral's name for it is "bacterial SSU rRNA". It matches the Rfam family "Bacterial small subunit ribosomal RNA", at positions 961 to 1338 of the family's 1533-position model. Lineage: Bacteria; Pseudomonadati; Pseudomonadota; Gammaproteobacteria; Vibrionales; Vibrionaceae. The record is from RNAcentral.
GCGAAGAACCUUACCUACUCUUGACAUCCAGAGAACUUUCCAGAGAUGGAUUGGUGCCUUCGGGAACUCUGAGACAGGUGCUGCAUGGCUGUCGUCAGCUCGUGUUGUGAAAUGUUGGGUUAAGUCCCGCAACGAGCGCAACCCUUAUCCUUGUUUGCCAGCGAGUAAUGUCGGGAACUCCAGGGAGACUGCCGGUGAUAAACCGGAGGAAGGUGGGGACGACGUCAAGUCAUCAUGGCCCUUACGAGUAGGGCUACACACGUGCUACAAUGGCGCAUACAGAGGGCAGCCAACUUGCGAAAGUGAGCGAAUCCCAAAAAGUGCGUCGUAGUCCGGAUUGGAGUCUGCAACUCGACUCCAUGAAGUCGGAAUCGCUAG